CCUCCGCGAUCUGCGGGCAAAUCCAGUGCACGUGCGUGUCGAUGGCGCCGGCGGUGACAAUCAUCUUUUCGCCCGCGAUGGCUUCGGUCGUCACGCCGGUCGUCAUGCCCGGCGUGACGCCCUCCAUCGUGUCCGGGUUGCCCGCCUUGCCGAUGCCGACGAUGCGCGACCCCUUGAUCCCGAUGUCCGCCUUGACCACCCCCAGCGCCGCGUCGAUGAUGAGCGCGUUCGUGAUGACCACGUCGAGCGCGUCGGCCGGGGCGCCGCCCGACUUUUGGCCCAUCCCCUCGCGCAG
Molecule: non-coding RNA, 295 nt
Organism: Emiliania huxleyi CCMP1516
Lineage: Eukaryota; Haptophyta; Isochrysidales; Noelaerhabdaceae
Source: Rfam